RNAcentral lists this transfer RNA (71 nucleotides) under Gongylonema pulchrum. It matches the Rfam family "tRNA". From Rfam's summary of the family: Transfer RNA (tRNA) molecules are approximately 80 nucleotides in length. Their secondary structure includes four short double-helical elements and three loops (D, anti-codon, and T loops). The record is from Rfam by way of RNAcentral. Lineage: Eukaryota; Metazoa; Nematoda; Chromadorea; Rhabditida; Gongylonematidae.
GGACCGGUGGUAUAGUGGUAAUACAUUGCAUUCGGACCUGGACGAAGGUGGUUCGACUCCCUCCCGGUCCA